RNAcentral lists this long non-coding RNA (957 nucleotides) under Olea europaea subsp. europaea. Lineage: Eukaryota; Viridiplantae; Streptophyta; Magnoliopsida; Lamiales; Oleaceae. The record is from RNAcentral.
UUUUUAAAUGUUUAUUCAAUAUAUAUUCAGUUUGUAGCAUUCUAAUUUUAAAAAGAAUAUUUUUACUAUGAAUUUGUAGUCACACCAAAGAAGUGGUGUCCAAGGAAGUAUUGCACCUAUGACAAAUGCAAAAUGUCAACUAUUACAUUGAUACUUGUUUGAGGAGGAGAAGUUGUAGUAGAAGUGAAGAUUGCAACAACAGACCCAAGUGUAAAGGUGCAUUACUUGCCACUUAGUCGAGACUGUUGGAAAGUUUGGGUUGAGGAAGUGUAGAUUGGUAAUUUGACCUUAUACAGACCUACAGAUAAAUUCCGAACUCUUAGUGAAGCUAAGGUAUGUUUUAUGGAUUUAUUACAUAUACACGUGAAUCUAUUUCCAUUUCAUUUCCAUCCCAAACAGUAUUUAGUGUUAAUCGGUUGGUACAUAUGAAGUGGUUUCAUGUUUUUUGCUUAUUCAGGUGUUAUGAAAUUGACUUUAUUGCAAAUGAGCACAGAAUGGACCAAUGAAUGAUGAUGACAACGAUGAUGAUGAUGAUAAUAGAAGUUCUUAGAUUUUACAAUAUGGUUUCUAAUAGGAAUUUCAAUGUCAUUGGUUGGUUAGCUAGUGAGAUUUUGGUAGUGAGGAUUAUAGGUUACUUCGCUGAACUCUUAGGUUUUCUUCAAUAAUUUUUUUUUGCUAUUGAAUUGUCGAAACAUGAUUCUAAUGUGUGAGCAACAUCUAUUAUCGAUUUGAUGUUUGGUUCUUUUUCAGUAAAUUGUAGUUUAGUGUAUUAUCUUUUUUCAUCUGAGUAGUUUUUGGAGAAGUUUUUGAAGAAUAUAUAAAUGUUCUAUGAAUAAUUUAUGGCGUCUGUAGGGACAUGGAACUGCUAUGUUUUGAUGCUCUCAUGGGGAUGUAUUUUAUUGGUUUCAUUGUAGAAACAUCUUGAGCGUCUCUAUACCUUUUGUAUUUUAUACUUUU